UACGUAGGUGGCAAGCGUUGUCCGGAUUUAUUGGGUUUAAAGGGUGCGUAGGCGGUCCUAUAAGUCAGUUGUGAAAUACGGCAGCUUAACUGUCGAGGUGCAAUUGAUACUGCAGGACUUGAGUACAGACGAGGUAGGCGGAAUUGACGGUGUAGCGGUGAAAUGCUUAGAGAUUACAUGGAAUACCAAUUGCGAAGGCAGGUUACUAUCAAUAUAUUGACGCUGAUGGACGAAAGCGUGGGGAGCGAACAGG
RNAcentral lists this ribosomal RNA (253 nucleotides) under uncultured bacterium. RNAcentral describes it as "partial 16S ribosomal RNA". It matches the Rfam family "Bacterial small subunit ribosomal RNA", at positions 524 to 776 of the family's 1533-position model. The record is from RNAcentral.